This is a long non-coding RNA of Octodon degus (degu), 782 nucleotides long. RefSeq lists it as uncharacterized. Lineage: Eukaryota; Metazoa; Chordata; Mammalia; Rodentia; Octodontidae. The record is from RefSeq and is a predicted model, not a curated record. The transcript has 2 exons.
CCUGUCACCCUAUCACCGGACAUUCAGGAAGGACGGUGACCUGCUGGGGACACUGUGGCCUCCCAGUGCAGGGUCUAUUUUGGGGUGCAGGGAGCCCCAGAACCCCAGCUCUAGCAGUUGUAGGGAGUCCCCACCUGGCCACGCAGGGGCUUCAGGGGCGGGCGCACAGGCAGGCCAGAGCAGCAGGAAACAGCAGGGUGAAGCCAGGGCCACAGGUUCCUGCCAGCUGCGUCCUCAGGACCUGGCAGAGCAAGGGGACAGCUACGAAGCUCCCUGGGCCCCAGGAUGGCCGCUUCCUGUCACUGUGCCCCUUGCAAUGACAACUUCAGAAAGGCGUUGUUUUGGUUCUGAACGUCUUUACUACAAGCUAGAGCACAGGCUGAAUACCAGAGCACUUGAGGGGCAGCCUUGCGAGGCAGGCAGGCCAGCUGUCCUGGUCAUACCCACGCCAGGCAGCUUAAAGCUAUGACAGCUGUAAAGGGUGAUAAACCAACAAGCCAGCACUUAAACGCUGUGGUCACACGAGCAAGCUGUGUGCAGCAAGACGAGGCAGCGGGACUGGGGGAGCUACAGCGCCGGAGCCUGCAGAGGGUGGGGGUGGGGCAAGCCACCCAAUUCCCUUUCACAGGAAUAGAAAGAUACAGACUCGUUACAGCCAACUACCAAAACUGUGCCAAGAGAUCAGGGUGACUGCCUGAGACUGCUACCUGGUAUAGGUGCCACUCUGCAAACGCUGUGGGGCCUGGAACGAUCCCUGAGCACCGACACAGCUUGGGUCCACU